RNAcentral lists this ribosomal RNA (312 nucleotides) under uncultured bacterium. RNAcentral describes it as "bacterial SSU rRNA". It matches the Rfam family "Bacterial small subunit ribosomal RNA", at positions 28 to 334 of the family's 1533-position model. The record is from RNAcentral.
GAUGAACGCUAGCGGCAGGCUUAACACAUGCAAGUCGAGGGGCAGCGAGGCCGUAGCAAUACGGCUGUCGGCGACCGGCGCACGGGUGCGUAACGCGUAUGCAACCUACCCGUAACAGGGGGAUAACACUGAGAAAUUGGUACUAAUACCCCAUAAUAUCUCAUGCGGCAUCGCAUGGGGUUGAAAACUCCGGUGGUUGAUGAUGGGCAUGCGUUGUAUUAGCUGGUUGGUGAGGUAACGGCUCACCAAGGCGACGAUACAUAGGGGGACUGAGAGGUUAACCCCCCACAUUGGUACUGAGACACGGACCAA